GCCUUCAAGGCCAUCUGCGUGGAUGAUAGAGAAGGGGCCGAGGCCUGCAGGCCGAAGGAUGGAAGCGGGACUCAAACUCAGGUCCUCAGACGGCUCCUCCCAGGAUAUUCCCCAGUGUAUAGGCAGCCAGAUGGCCUGGAGCUGGGAGCUGGGAUCAAAUCUGGCCUCUGCCACUUUUGAGCUGGGUGACCCUGGACAAGUCACUUAACACUAUCGGCCUCGCUCUUGCUCCUGUCUUCAGAGCCGUUACUAGGCCAGAAAGUAAGGGUUUUAAACAAGAACACUAUCCAGUCUCCCAAGAAAGCCCUUUCCACUCCCCCUGCCCCUCCUGCAAGGCUCCCAGACUCAGGUCUGUCUUUGUUCCAGAAUUCAGGGCUCUGAGCAAGAGUCGAAUGGGAGUCAACACAGGAAGGCGCGGAGGUCAGCUCGGCAUCCUGCCCAGGCUCGGGAGGGAGGUGGGAGGUCCGCUAGCUGAAAGGAGGCAGGUGAGACAGGAGAGGACUCAGCGGUCAGUUGUCAGGGUCAUCCACAUGCAAUUAAGAGCCAAAAAAGACCUUGGCACCCUCCUAAUCCAAUUCCCUCCUGUUACAGCCCAGGAGACCUAGGGGAGGCCUAGCGUGGGAAUAUGAAUUGCCCACAUUAUAUAGCUAAUAAGGGACAGGAGUGAGAUUCGAAUCCAGGUUCCCUGACUCUAAUUCCAACAAUCAUUUAUCCAUUCAACAAAGACAGCUUAAAACUGCAUCAAGGCUUUUGGGCUAUCUGUAUUUUAAAGAGCCUACUAUGUGCAAAGCAGCAUGGGAAAUCCUGGGAACCCUGCCUUUGGAGAGCAGGUAGUCUAAUACCAGAGGAAGAUGUUUGCGAACAAAGGAGAAUGAGGUCGGGACCAGAAGAAAUCUGGGGAGGGGGAGACAGGCUUCCCCUGGGGGGAGGAAGAGAAGGAAGGCUCGGUGAGGCUCUGUGGCCACAGCACUAAGCCUUAAAGGAGUGCAGGCCCUGAGGAUGGCGAUGCAGGAGAGGACCUGCUAGACCCAGGGGCUGAGGGGAGCAGAGGCCAGCACCCAAGAGAGCAGAAGAAUGGUGGGUCUCCAGUCUGAGGGGGAUGAAGAACACAUGAAGGUUUUUGCAUGAUCACACAUGUAUAAGCCAGGUCAAAUCACUUACCAUCCCUGGGAGGGGGGAGACUAGGGACAGAGGGAGAUAAUUGGGAUCAGAAAACUGGGGGGAAUUGUUAUUAGAUGGAAUGGGGAAAAUAAAGUCUCUUUUAAAGUUUUAAAAGAACA
RNAcentral lists this long non-coding RNA (1280 nucleotides) under Monodelphis domestica (gray short-tailed opossum). RNAcentral's name for it is "lncRNA (ENSMODG00000038090.1)". The record is from RNAcentral. Lineage: Eukaryota; Metazoa; Chordata; Mammalia; Didelphimorphia; Didelphidae.